Mus musculus (house mouse) is the source of this 14045-nucleotide long non-coding RNA. RefSeq annotates it as predicted gene, 57587. The transcript is spliced from 5 exons. NCBI's taxonomy places the organism in Eukaryota, Metazoa, Chordata, Mammalia, Rodentia, Muridae. The record is from RefSeq and is a predicted model, not a curated record.
GGAACCUGGCUGCUUGUCCGCUCUGGGAGGUUGCGGGUGGGAUUGGGUGGAGUGUUUGUUCAGAGGGGGCGUGGGCCAGAAGGAGGAUGAAACUGUGGGAUGGCCACCCCCGUGGCUCCUUGGAGGGGAUCACCCAGCAAAGCUCCCUUUGAUGCUGGUUGCGCGUGAGGAAGAGCAGGACCUGGAACUUGGGUUGCCUCCAAGUAAUCCCUGUCAGCCUGUCUAGGAAAGCGUUCAGAGACCGCUGUUCUCAGUGUGCUGCUGUCUCCUGGGGCCUUACCAAAGAAGGCAAAUAUUACUGUACUUCCUGACACAGAUCGAUCUGAGGAAGUGGUGAGCGCUGCAGAUAUCCCCAACACCAAGAUCAACUCCAUCAACAGGGGGCUGAGACAGAGAAGCAAGCAUGAGAAAGGCUGGGAUUGGUAUGUGUGUGAAGGUUUCCAGUGCAUACUUUAUCACCAAGCAAAAGCCCUGGAGACCCUCGGAGUAAGCCCAGAACUAAAGGAUGAAGUCUUACACAAUUUUUGGAAGCGCUACCUUCAGAAGAGCAAGCAGGCCUAUUGUAAAAACCCAGUUCGUACAAGUGGAAGGAAAGCCAAAGUGAGCCCUGGACCCUGACAUGAGACACUAAAAUUCACUUUGUGUGGCAGAAAGACAAAGGCGUUUUUUUUUUUUUUUUUUUUUUUUGUGACUGCUUGAGUUUGACUGUGGUGCUUGCCUGUAGAUUUUCAGGGAGGAGGCUCCUGGUGCAAUCCAGAAUGAUCUAGACUUUACAGUGAAUUGUGGCCAUUUAUUAAACUAGUUGUAACAUAAAAGUUAUCUUCUGUCUUAGUUAGGGUUUUACUGCUGUGAACAGACACCAUGAUCAAGGCACUUCUUAUAAAGGACAACAUUUAAUUGGGGUUGGCUUCAGGUUCAGAGGUUCAGUCCAUUAUCAUCAAGGCAGGAACAUGGCCGAAUCUAGGCAGACAUGGUGCAGGUGGAGCUGUUAGUCUACUUCAUCUGAAGACUCCUACCAGAAUACUGGCUUCCAGGCAGCUAGGAUGAGGGUCUUAUAGCCCACACCCAGACCCUCUUCUGGUCUGUCUGUGCUGGUGCCCUGAUCAGACCUUGGGUGUGAACUCUGCAGCCAGCCCCACAACACCCAGAGGUAGCUCUACUCCCAGGCACUCUAACACACCCAGGAUCAUAGGAUCAGAGGUGAGGAGGACACAACAUCUGACCCAACACCAGGAGUAACUGGGACCAGUGCUACCCAGGCGUGCAGGAACUCCACCAGACCAGUGGCUUGGGUUCCUUCUGGUCUGUCUAGGCCAGUGCCCCAAGCAGACUUUGGUCACAAACUCCACAGCCCUACAACACCCAGAGGCAGCUCCACUCUCAGGUGGUCACACCCAUCUGGAUCCCAGGACAUUGGUCACACAAGGAUCUCAGGGUUCCAGAGGUAGUUUGACUCCCAGGAGCUCUGACAUACCUAGGAUCUCAGGAUCACAGGAUCCCAGAAUCACAGGAUCACAGAGACAGCUUGACUCUGAGGAGUUCUGACACAACAAGGAUCACAGGAAGGACCGGCUCCAGUCAGACAUAACCAGGGCAGGUAGCACUAGAGAUAACCAGAUGGCUGGAGGCAAGCAAAAGAACAGAAGCAACAGAAAGCAAGGUUACUUGGCAUCAUCAGAACCCAAUUCUCCCACCAUAGCAAGACCUGGAUACCCCAACGAACCAGAAAAGCAAGAUUCAGAUCUAAAAUCACUUCUCAUGAUGAUGAUAGAGGACUUUAAGAAGGACAUAAAUAACUCCCUUAAAGAAAUACAGGAGAACACAGGUAAACAGCUAGAAGCCCUUAAAGAGGAAACACAAAAAUCCCUUAAAGAAUUACAGGAAAACACAAUCAAAGGAAAAGGAAAAAAACAAAACUCUCCAGGAUCUAAAAAUGGAACUAGAAACAACAAAGAAACCACAAAGGGAGACAACCCUGGAUCAGAUCAGCAGUCAUAGAUGCAAGCAUCACCAACAGAAUACAAGAUAGAAGAGAGAAUCUCAGGGGCAGAAGAUACCAUAGAAAACAUUGAUACAACAGUAAAAGAAAACACAAAAAGCAAAAAGCUCCUAACCCAAAAUAUCCAGGAAAUCCAGGACACAAUGAGAAGACCAAACCUAAGGAAAAUAGGUAUAGAAGAGAGAGAAGAUUCCCAACUUAAAGGGCCAGUAAAUAUCUCCAACAAAAUUAUACUUCUAUAAAACUUCCCUAAUCUAAAGAAUGAGAUGCCCAUGAACAUACAAGAAGCCUACAGAACUCGAAAUAGACUGGACCAGAAAAGAAAUUCCUCCUGUCACAUAAUAAUCAAAACACCAAAUGCACUAAACAAAGAAAGAAUUUUAAAAGCAUUAAGGGAAAAAGGUCAAGUAACAUAUAAAGGCAGACCUAUCAGAAUUACACCAGACUUCUUACCAGAGACUAUGAAAGCUCGAAGAUCCUGGACAGAUGUCAUAUAGACCCUAAGAGAACACAAAUGCCAAUUCAGGCUACUAUACCCAACAAAACUCUCAAUUACCAUAGAUGGAGAAAACAAGAUAUUCCAUGACAAAACCAAAUUUACACAAUGUCUUUCCACAAAUCCAGCCCUACAAAGGAUAAUAGAUGGAAAACACCAACACAAAGAGUGAAACUACAUCCUAGAAGAAGAAAGUAAUCUUUCAACAAACCCACACAAACAUAAUUUCACCUUUAACAACAAAAAUAACGGGAAGUAACAAUCACUUUUCCUUAAUAUCUCUUAAUAUGAAAAUUAAUAUUACCAAUAUAUCCUAAUCGAUUGAAAUUGAAAAAUAUGAGCAAUUAGAAAUUUGUUGGCUGUCAUCCAGUGGUCUCUUUAAUUUGGUAAUUGGAGAAAUAGGUCUUAUAUUGUACAAUCCAUACACACUUUCUGCUUGUUUGUACAUGACAGUGUUGCUGUGUGCCACACAAUGGUCUUGAAAUCAUGCUUCUCCUAUCUCAGCCUCUCUACUAGUAGGAUUGUUUAUUUGAUGUUCUUACACUAUACUAUGGUUUUCAGAACAGCUUACUUAUUUUAAAAUGAUUUACACAGCCAAAAGAAGACAAUUAAUUUGGGAUGUGGCUUGAAAGAGAACAGCAAAGAGUGAGACUGAAUGCUCUACUUGAUAUUUAUAAUUAUUUUAUCAAUUUUGAAGAAGAGGACUUUUUUGUUUGUUUGUCUGUUUGUUUGUUUGUUUUUGAGACAGGGUUUCUCUGUAAAGCCCUGGCUGUCCUGGAACUCACUUUGUAGACCAGGCUGGCCUCGAACUCAGAAAUCCGCCUGCCUCUGCCUCCCGAGUGCUAGAAUUAAAGGUGUGCGCCACCACACCCAGCUAGAAGAGGACUUUGUAAGUUACUCUUAUUCUGAGAUGAAUGCUUUUCAAAAUCAUCACAGCCAAGGAACUAGAAUCUUACCCUCAUGUGAUGUCUGUGCCACCCUCCAAACAGAACCAUACUUCAUUGAAACAUUCGAUGAAUGACUUCAUGAAUAGACCAUCUCAAUACUCACACCAUUUCUUAAAGGCAUGUAACCUAUCCCUUGUGGGCUGAGAAUGAAGACAAUCACUCAAUUCAAGUAGCUUUGACCAUAGCAGGAAAUCUGUAUCUAAAAAUCGUGCCUACAAUUCAUUCCUUGGUGCAGCAAACUUGUCAACUCUUAGCUUAGCUACUAUGGAGGUGAAAUCCUUUGGUGAUGUAAGGUAAAUUGAAGCAUAGCCUUAUUACACUGACCUCCAAUUCCAAAAAUUGUUCUUAUUUUGGGUUUGUACCACAGUAAGAGCCAAGAUUUUAAGCUCUACUAAAAACUAACUAACUAACUAACUAACUAACUAACUAACUAACUAACUAACUAACUAACUAACAAAAAGACUUUAUUUAUGUUCAUUAAAGCAAACUAAUAGCCGGGGUGGUGGUGGUGGUGGCGCACACCUUUAAUCCCAGCACUUGGGAGGCAGAGGUAGGCAGAUUCCUGGGUUCAAGGACAGCCUGGUCUACAAAGUGAGUUCCAGGACAGCCAGGGCUAUACAGAAAAACCCUGUCUCGAAAAAAACCAAAACCAAACCAAACCAAACCAAAAAAACCAAGCUAAUAGUGUUAUAUUAUUUUGAAAUAUCAUACAGUUAAUAUAUUUGGAGUUAUUUAAAGUUUAUAUUGAGAAAAACAUGUAUUUUCAUUAUUGCUGUAGACAAGCAUCUAAAUAAGACAACUUUUAUAAUACUCAUUUUUAUUGUUAUAAUAUUUUAUAAAUUUUAAAGAAUAUGAUAAAAAAUGAAAGGUAUGGCAGGUAUUGAAGGGGGUCUCUGGGAGGAGUUGGGGUUCAAAAGGGAAAGAAGAAUGUGAUGUAAGACUAUUUACUCAAAAUAUGUUUUUAAAUGUUAACAAAUUCAGUUAAAUUGAAAUUAUUUAUCUUUUCUCAUCAUAAUGCAAUAAAACUUAAAUAUAUAUAUGUAUACUUAUAUGUAUAUGUCUGAAGUAACAAAAUAAGAAUUAUAAAUGCUAAUUACACACUAAUAUUGGAUCAAGCUCUUAAUAUUUAUGAUAUUUCUGAAAUUAUAGAAUUGCAACUAAAGUCAAUUUUAAUACCUGAAAAUCAGGUUUAUUUUUAUUUUUAUUUUUUAUCUAUGCACUAUGAUGACAAAGGAUAAAACUCCAAUUUGAUCUGACAACUUCUCUCCUACUCUAUCUCUUAUUUUGGCAAAAAUUUGUAAUUUCUGAUUCAUAUCUUUUCCCUACUUAUAAGUGCUCUUUUUGCCUUAUCUUUUUUUUUUUUUCUUUUUUUCGAGACAGGGUUUCUCUGUAUAGCCCUGGUUGUCCUGGAACUCACUCUGUAGACCAGGCUGGCCUCGAACUCAGAAAUCCACCUCCUGAGUGCUGGGAUUAAAGGCGUGCGACACUACACCCGGCUAUUUUUUGUCUUAUCAAUGUCAUAGAAAUACACACCAAUAAGUUAUUCCUGUUUGGUAUUUGGAAUUACAAAAAUUGAAAUCUACAGGAUGUUGGUUACUGUAUUCUCUAGUAUGUAGUCAGAUAUAAUUGACAGCAAUAGAGUAUUGACAAUAUACAGACAGGCAGAACAUAUAUGAAUAUUUGAUGCUGAAGGCAGAGGGACAAAAAACAAGGUUGUGAGGGGACAAACAUGUUUUGCACUCCAGUUAAAUGUUACCACCUUAGACACACUUACUCUUCCUGUUAUUAAAUUCAGUACCUUAGGAGUCAUCUUAUAGCUUUAUUGCUUUGCCAAGAAUCGGUGAAGCUUAGUUUCUGUCAUUUACAACACGAGCUCUGCUUAUGCUGAUCAUUGUUAGUAGACUUCUUAUUGUCGUCGUGCUUACUACCACUGUGUACUACGUGCAACUUUAAGUGUGGUUCCUAUGGAGCAUGUGAAUGUUCCUUUGCUCCUUAGAAUUCAGUUCAGUUCAGACAGUGAAUAUCCAGUGACUUUUAUUAGGAAAUUCCCAUCAGUUAGAGAGAGAAGAAAGGUGGGAAUGGACCUGAAGGAGAACAUUAACCUGAACCAAAUAGUAUGCUACCAGCAGAGGCAAAUGCAAGGUGCUCGAAUGGCUGUUGUCUGGGGGCUUUGGAAAGUUUUAAGGUUUAAGUAAUCAGGAGCUUAUGAGCAGCUGGCAAGCAAGGAAAGCCCAAUGUCAAAGGUAGUAAUUUUAAGAUGUUAUGCCAGAAUUCAAGAAAGUAGUUCACAUUUGAAAGUAAAUUAUGAAUAUUACAAUAAUGCACAGACGUCUAUAUGUUACAUCUGUGCUGAUGGACACACAGCAAUGCAUACUCACACACAGGACCCUGAGCUAGUUUGAGAUAGUGAAGAGUGAGUGAGUGUGUAGAAGUUUGAGCUCAGUGAAAGUUGAGGCAUGUUCCUGUAUGGCAUGCUAAAGAUCUUGGAUGGUAAUUCAAUGGUAGUGUACGACACUUUACAAAGGAGCAUAACUGUAGGGGAAAAAGACACAGAGGGAGUCAAGUGUCUCAAACAGAAAGAUGACAGUGCUUGGUUUAGUACUUGGGACACAGAGUUAAGUAUAAGUAAAAUUAAAUUAAUUUUAAAAAAGUCAGGUUAGGCAACAAUAUGAGAUUUUGCUUUCAGUACCAUACCAACAUUGAUGUCAAUCAAUAUUAUAUAUGAGAUGCCAUCAAUUAAUGGAGCAAGUGGAGUUCUUUUUUAAAAAAUAUUUACUUAUUCAUUCUUUACAUUCCAAUGGCAGCCUUCUCUUUCUCCUCUUCCCAGUCUCAGAGAAGGAGACGCCCCUCUUAGGUACCAUCCUACCCUGGGACAUCCAGGUCCAAAAGGACUAAACACAUAUUCUCCCACUGAAGCCCAACAAGGCAGUCAGUUAAAGGAAGGGGAUCCAAUGGCAGGUAACAGAAAAAAGACAACCUCUGCUCUAAUUGUUAGGGCAACCACAUGAAGACCAAGCCACAUAAAUGUUACAAAUGUGUAAGGGACUAGGUCCAGCCCAUGCAUGCUCUUUGAGAACUCCCAUGGUCCUAGGUUAGGUGACUCUGUAGAUAUUCUUGUGGUCCUUUAACUUUAUUUCUUUGAUGCUUCCUCAAGUUUUCACAAGCUCCACCUGAUGUUCAGCUGUUGGUCUCUGGAUCGGAUUCCAUCAACUUCCAGAUGAAGCCUCUCAGAAGAUAGUUAUGCUAGCUUCUUCUUUGCUAGCAUAGCAGAGUAUCAUUAAUAGUGUCAGAGUGUUGGCUCUCUUCCUAGGGAUGGAUCUCAAGUUUGGACAGUACUUGGUUGGCCAUUCCCUCAGUCUUGGCUUAAUUUUUAUCCCUGUUUAUCUUGUAUGCAGGAAAAACUUGGGUUUGAAGGUUUUGUAGGUGGAAAGAUCUCCUAUGCUCAUGAACCAGUAGGAUUAACAUAGUAAAAAUGGCCAUUUUACCAAAAGAAAGCUUAGGUUCAAUAUAAUUCUUAUUAAAAUUCCACCACAAUUCUUUACAGACCUUGAAAGAGAAAUUCUUUACUUCAUAUGGAAAAAAAUAAAAAUGCAGGAUAGCUAAUGCAAUACUGAACAAGAAAAGCACUUUUGGAGGACCAUCUAUGAUUUCAAGCUAUACUAUAGAACAAUGGUAAUAAAAAACACAUGUUAUUGGCACAAGAAAGACAGUUUGAUCAAUGGAAUAUAAUUGAAGACCCAGAAAUAAACCCACACACCUAUGGACACUUUGUAUUUGACAAGGAAGCCCAAACCAUACAAUACAAAAGUGAAAGUAACUUCAACAAAUGCUGCUGGUGGAUAGCUGCAUUUAGAAGAAUGCAAAUAAGCCCACAUCUAUCAUUCUGCCCAACAGUAUGGUAAAAAUGAUCAGAAAACGAGAUACACUGAAUCUAACAGAAGAGAAAUUGGAGAACUGUCUUGAACAUAUUCUCACCGGAGACAAAUUCUUGAACAGAACAUUCUGAAACUAAGAUCAAAAAUUAAAAUGUUGGGCCUCAUGAAACUGAAAAGCUUCUGAAAGGUUAAAUACACCAUCGAUAGGACAAAACAGCAGCCUAUAGUUUGAGAAAAGAUCUUCAGCAACCCUACAUCUGACAACAGACAAUAUCUAAAUUAUAUAGAGAACUCAAGAAAUUAGACACCAACAAACUAAAAGCACAGUUUAAAAAUGGGAUGCAGAGCUAAACAGAGAAAUCUCCACAGAGGAAUCUCAAAUGGAUGAGAAACACUUAAAGAAAUGCUUAAUGUAUUUAGUCAUCAGGGAAAUAUAAAUCAAGAUGACUCUGAGAUUCCAUCUUACACCCAUCACAAUGGCUAAGGUCAAAAUCUAAAUCAACAGCACAUGCUGGCGAGGGUCUGGAGCUGGUGGAGGUGCAAACUUGUACAACCACUUUGGAAAUUAAUUUUGUGGUUUCUCAAAAAACUGGAAACAGUUCUACCCCAAGACUCAGCUAUACUACUCCUAGGCAUAUACUCAAAAGAUGCAUCACUAUAUACAACAAAGAUACUUGCUUAACGGUGCUCAUAGCAGUAAAUACCCAGAAACUGUAAACAAUCUAGAUGUCCUUCAAUUUAAGAAUAGAUAAAGAAAAUGUAGUUUAUCUACACAAUAUGAUACUAUUCAGCUAUGAAAAACAAGGGCAUCAUAACAUUUUCAGGUAAAUGGAUAGAUCUAGAAAGUAUCAUUCUGAGUGAGGUAACCCAGACCUAGAAAGACACAUAUGGUAUGUACUUACUUAUAAGUGGACAUUAGGGCUGGAGAGAUGGCUCAGCAGGUAAGAGCACUGACUGCUUUUCCGAAGGUCCUGAGUUCAAAUCCCAGCAACCACAUGGUGGCUCACAACCACCUGUAAUGAGAUCUAACGCCCUCUUCUGGUGCGUCUGAAGACAGCUACAGUGUACUUAUGUAUAAUAAAUAAAUCUUUGGGCCUGAGCAAGCGGAGUUGACCUGAGUGAGUAGGGUGACCAGAGAAGAACAGAGCAGAGGUCCUAAAAAUUCAAUUCCCAACAACCAUAUGAAGGCUCACAACCAUCUGUACAUGUAUUCAUAUACAUAAAAUAAAUAAAUAAAUCUUUAAAAAAAAAGUGGACAUUAGGUAUAAAGUGCAAGAUAACCAUGCUAUAAUCUACAGAUCUAAGGAAACUAAGAAAUAAGGAAGGCCCAAAGAGGAUGUGUGGAUGUCAUUCAAAGGAGAAAACAAAAUAGUCAUUGGAGGAGGAUAAAGUGAGGGAGCUAAGUAUGAGAGGACGUGAGGAGGUACACUGGCAUGCGGAUUGGAUGUGGGAAGAGUGGGGCGGGAGACAAUUGGGAGUGAGAAUAGAAAUUGGUGCAAGGCAUCUCUGAGCAAGUGGGUUUUUAAAUGACUAUGGAUAAAGAUAGUGUAUUCAACUGCUUUGGACAAGACAUCAAUUUUUGUGAAGGUUUAAAUUUGCUUCUACUUCAACAGAAAUGUAAAGAAUCACAUACCACUUUGAGCAGAGAUUAACAUAAGGUUAGAGUAAAUGUUAUAAAUCACUAAUAAUCAAACAGUAGUUGGCUUAAACUUUGCAAUUUAUAUAAGAAACUUCGGAGGAGCUCAACAGUUUGGUCAUUAAUCUAGAAUUGAUGCUAUCACUGAGGCGGUCAAAACAUCUUUGUUCAUGUGAAGGGGUUACUGAAUUCAGUGUUCCCCAUAAAGACAGUUUUUAUGUGGAACUGGAGGACAGCUAAAGAGCAGAGCCUCUGUGAAAACAGUACACUCUGCGAUGCUCUCAGCUGCACUGCAGUGAACAUGACCAGCACCUUGUGUGAGUUCCCACUUUGAGGCUGCUGAUCCCUCGGAGUCUGCAAGGGACUUCAUCAGGUCAACUGGCCAAUGAAUGUCUACUUUAAUAGUUAUAGAUGAGAAGGCUCCUAGGAUGAAGGAAUAUGGAAGAGGCUCUUUGUGCCCAAAUAUUGUAUAAUCAUAGAAAUGAUGCAAAAUGCCCAUGCUAGAAAUAGAUUCUAUAGGAGAAAAAAAAAAGGUUCUGGGGUUUUUGAAAUCAAUCUAAUCACAACAGAGUAUGGAAAUUUUGUAACAUAUCCUGUUUUCUAACUAAGUGACUAUUUGAUUACAUUAUACAAAAAAGUUGUAAAAAAUGCUACCCUAUAAAUUUCUAUAAAUCCUUAAAGCAGGGGAAGAGUGCUAGAAAAAUCUACCUCUAGGAGAGCCUUCAUAUAACUUUGCAGCCAGACAUGUCUUUCCUGCAUACAUUUGUAUUUUUCUCCUCUAUCAAAUCUGUGUUACAAAUCAUAUCAAGUAGACAUUUGGGGAAAGAUGAAUUCCAAUGACAAAAAAGGCAAAUUUUUCUGUUUUAGGAAAUGAUUGUUUAUUUCCCAAAUGGAUGACAGUGAAUGUCAUCAAGAACAGCAUUCGGUUACCUCACUCAGAAUGAUGCCCUCCAGGUCCAUUCAUUUGCCUAGGAAUUUCAUAAAUUCAUUCUUUUUAAUAGCUGAGUAGUACUCCAUUAUGUAAAUGUACCACAUUUUCUGUAUCCAUUCCUCUGUUGAGGGGCAUCUGGGUUCUUUCCAACUUCUGGCUAUUAUAAAUAAGGCUGCUAUGAACAGAGUAGAGCAUGUGUCCUUCUUACUGGUUAGAACAUCUUCUGGAUAUAUGCCCAGGAGAAGUAUUACGGGAUCCUCCGGUAGUACUAUGUCCAAUUUUCUGAGGAACCGCCAGACUGAUUUCCAGAGUGGUUGUACAAGCUUGCAAUUCUACCAACAAUGGAGGAGUGUUCCUCUUUCUCCACAUCCUUGCCAGCAUCUGCUGUCACCUGAAUUUUUGAUCUUAGCCAUUCUGACUGGUGUGAGGUGGAAUCUCAGGGUUGUUUUGAUUUGCAUUUCCCUGAUGAUUAAGGAUGUUGAACAUUUUUUCAGGUGCUUCUCAGCCAUUCAGUAUUCCUCAGGUGAGAAUUCUUUGUUUAGCUCUGAGCCCCAUUUUUUAAUGGGGUUAUUUGAUUUUCUGGAGUCCACCUUCCCAAUCACAAGAGAACUCACAUGAUAUGUACUCACUGAUAAGUGGAUAUUAGCCCAGAAACUUAGAAUACCCAAGAUACAAGAUACAAUUUGCAAAACACAUGAAACUCAAGAAGAACGAAGACAAAAGUGUGGACACUUUGCUCCUUCUUAGAAUUGGGAACAAAACACCCAUGGAAGGAGUUACAGAGACAAAGAUUGGAGCUGAGCCAAAAGGAUGGACCAUCUAGAGACUGCCAUACCCGGGGAUCCAUCCCAUAAUCAGCCCCCAAAAGCUGACACCAUUGCAUACACUAGCAAGAUUUUGCUGAAAGGACCUUGAUAUAGCUGUCUCUUGUGAGACUAUGCCGGGGCCUGGCAAACACAGAAGUGGAUGUUCACAGUCAGCUAUUGGAUGGAUCACAGGGCCCCCAAUGGAGGAGCUAGAGAAAGUACCCAAGGAGCUAAAGGGAUCUGCAACCCUAUAGGUGGAGCAACAAUAUGAACUAACCAGUACUCCCCAGAGCUCAUCUCUCUAGCUGCAUAUGUAUCAGAAGAUGAACUAGUUGGCCAUCAGUGAAAAGAGACGCCCAUUGGUUGUGCAAACCUUAUAUGCCUCAGUACAGGGGAACGCCAGGGCCAAGAAGUGGGAGUGGGGGGGGUUUGGGUGACUUAUGGGGUAGCAUUGGAAAUGUAAAUGAAGAAAAUGCCUAAUUAAUAAAAAACAAAAACCAAAAAGGAACAGCAUUGGAUUUCAGGGAUGGAGAAGAUGGACUCUCCAUUAAACCUGAACUGUGGGAAGCCACAUGUGCCGUUGCAGAGUGGCACUGACUACUGCUGGCCACCACGCAUAAGUUUGGACAAACAACCAAUGUGUACAUAUGCAGUAAAGUUUUUUGCAAAGACACUGCCUGGCCUGGACAUGAUAAUGAGGUUCUGUAAGGUACUGAGAGUAUAACCAAUCAGAUGUGAGACAUGCAAAUGAGGUAUGAUAAUGAGGUUCUGUAAGGUACUGAGAGUAUGACCAAUCAGAUGUGAGACAUGCAAAUGAGGUAUGAUAAUGAGGUUCUGUGAGGUACUGAGAGUAGCCAAUCAGAUGAGGAACAUGCAAAUGAGGCGUAGUGCAUAACCAAUCCGGGUGUAAGACACGCCUCUCCUAGGCCUAUAAAAGCAGCACCAGUUCUGGGCUCGGGGUCUCUUCGCCUCUACAAUCAAGCUCUCCCAAUAAAUGUGUGCAGAAGGAUCCUGUUGCAGCGUUGUUCUUCCUGGCCAGUCGAGCGUGCGCAAGACUGAACCAUCUAAGAAACUUAGUAACCCAAAGGCUAACUCUAUCCUGGACACUUUAUCUGUGGUGUAUUUUGUUUUGUUUUUAUCUCUAGUGAAUGCUUCUCUGCUUGUUGUUUUUACAAAUGCUUCUCUGUGCAUCUUAAUAGACACUGACAAGUUAAUGCUUUGUUAUGAGAUUUAGUUGGAAACCCUUACUGCACAGUGUUGAACAGGGUCUUAGAAAUGGACUUGCUCUGGGGGAAAAGAAAUGAACACACAAAUAAUGUCAGUGAACAUUGUGGCAUAUUAGGAAAGUUCCUGAGGUUCUAGUCACACUGAUGAAUGGUAGUAUAUGCAUCAAGGUUGCAUAAGCAAGGGAUUGGCUAAAAGAAAUCUCCAGUGUAAUUUUGGUCCAUCAGAAAAUUAUUCCUUCUAUAUUGGGCAAAAACGCAGAGACAGACUUAUAUUACACAGCUAUAUGUUCUUCUGGCAAGCUAGAGUGCAAAAUAAAAGUUGCCAAUACCUUCAAAUAAACAAACAAUAACAAAAACAACCAAAUCACAAUCAAUUACUUUGAGGAAGUUUACAUAACAUCUAUUAUUACAUAUUAUUCUUGUUAACAUCAAUUCCAUUAAAAGGAUAAAAAUUAAUUUUAAGAUAUUUUAUUCAAUUUCUUUUUUUAAAAAUAACAAUGUCAUUUUUUAUUGCAAAGGGAGUGUCUAGAAAUUUUUAUGGUAGCUGUCUCUUGUGAGGCUAUGCCGGUGCCUGGCAAACACAGAAGUGGAUGCUCACAGUCAGCUAUUGGAUGGAACACAGGGCCCCCAAUGGAGGAGCUAGAGAAAGUACCCUAGGAGCUGGGGGGGAUCUGCAACCCUGUAGGUGGAACAACAUUAUGAACUAACCAGUACCCUGGAGCUCUUGACUCUAGCUGCAUAUGUAUCAAAAGAUGGUCUAGUCGGCCAUCACUGGAAAGAGAGGCCCAUUGGACACGCAAACUUUAAUGCCCCAGUACAGGGGAACACCAGGGCCAAGAAGUGGGAGUGGGUGGGUAGGGGAGCAGGGAGGGGGGGAAAUGGGGGUCUUUCAGGAUAGCAUUGGAAAUGUAAAUGAAGAAAAUACCUAAUAAAAAAUUGGAAAAAAAAGAAAUUUAAAUGGAAUGACUGAAGAUGACAAACAACUGUUAAACUACAACAAUUCCCAAUCAGAAUGUAGAGUAAAUCAAUGAGGUUUUUCUGAUAUCAUAUUAUGUUGUAAAGCUUUAUUAAUCAAAAGGAGGAUGCUACUGACAUAAAGAUAUACAAGUAUCUUAGUAGAAACAAACAGAAGUCCUUGAAAACGAGCAUGUAUGUAGAGAGGACUAUAGUUUGAAACCUCCAAGUAUAACACUGUGUUAGAAAAAGAUAAUAUUUCAGUGAAUACUGUUAAAAAUAUUAUGUUACAAUGUAUGCAAAAAUAAAUGAAAUUUAAAAACUUAAAUGUCAGACAUUAAACCUAGAUCCUCUAAUAAAAGCAAAUAAGAAAGUCACCUGACAAUGCUUAUGAUAAUGUUUUUAAAAUUUUUCACAUUAAAAGUAAAAGUAAACAAAUGAGAUGAUAUAAACGUAAAACUAUUCAGCAAACAAAUAAUAAAGAUAGUUAAACUGUGGGUUUAGAAGAAAUAUUUACAAGUCAUGAUUCUGGUAAAAGAUUAGUAUCUGUAUACUCUACAAAAUAUUCAUAUAGCUGAAUGUCAAAUAUAAUUACUAGUAACGGUAACCAUUAUUUAUUUUUACUCUAGAGUGAUCUUUUUUCUUUUCUUUUUUUACUAGAUAUUUUCUUUAUUUACAUUUCAAAUGUUAUCCGCUUUCCUAGUUUCCCCUUAUUCAAUUUCUUAAGAUGGAGACAUCAUGUUUUUCUUAUAAUACAGGACAGAAAACCAGUUAAUGGGAUAGUUCCUCACAAGAAAAACUACUGAUAAUUAUUCCAAUUGUUAACUUGACCCAAUCUUGAAAAAAGGCACAGUGAGGGAUUUCUACAUUGAAUUAGCUCAUGAGUAGAUCUGUGUGGGAUUGUUUUACAUUGAUUUAUGUGGGGAGACCAGCUCACUUUGCUUAGCACCAUUUCCUAAACAAGGGAUCCUGGACGGUAUAAGAAUGCAGAAGUUCAUCUGAGCACAACAAGCAUUCACCUCUCGUUCUUGCCUGUGUUGUUAUUUGACAACUCCACUAAGUUUCUACCUUGUCUUCUGUGCAAUAGUAGACUGUAACCUGGAGUUAUAAACUUAAUAAACCCUUUCUUUACAAAAAAAGAAAAAAAAACCUGCUGGGUACUGAGUGACCUAGAA